CCUACGGGAGGCAGCAGUGGGGGAUAUUGCACAAUGGGGGAAACCCUGAUGCAGCAACGCCGCGUGGGUGAAGAAGUACUCCGGUAUGUAAAGCCCUGUCAGCAGGGAAGAAAAUGACGGUACCUGACCAAGAAGCCCCGGCUAACUACGUGCCAGCAGCCGCGGUAAUACGUAGGGGGCAAGCGUUAUCCGGAUUUACUGGGUGUAAAGGGAGCGUAGACGGCAAGGCAAGUCUGGAGUGAAAGCCCGGGGCCCAACCACGGGACUGCUUUGGAAACUGGGUUGCUGGAGUGCAGGAGGGGUAAGCGGAAUUCCUAGUGUAGCGGUGAAAUGCGUAGAUAUUAGGAGGAACACCGGUGGCGAAGGCGGCUUACUGGACUGUAACUGACGUUGAGGCUCGAAGGCGUGGGGAGCAAACAGGAUUAGAUACCCCAGUAGUC
This 440-nucleotide ribosomal RNA is filed under the name uncultured bacterium. RNAcentral describes it as "partial 16S ribosomal RNA". It matches the Rfam family "Bacterial small subunit ribosomal RNA", at positions 338 to 795 of the family's 1533-position model. The record is from RNAcentral.